UUUAAGUCCAUGGCUCAGUGUUGGGGAGUAUCUGCUUUGCAAGCAGAAGGUCCUAGGUUCAAUCUCCGGCAUCCCCAUUUAAAA
This 84-nucleotide transfer RNA is filed under the name Sphaerodactylus townsendi. RNAcentral describes it as "tRNA-Ala". Lineage: Eukaryota; Metazoa; Chordata; Lepidosauria; Squamata; Sphaerodactylidae. The record is from RNAcentral.